This is a long non-coding RNA of Pantherophis guttatus, 682 nucleotides long. RefSeq lists it as uncharacterized. The record is from RefSeq and is a predicted model, not a curated record. NCBI's taxonomy places the organism in Eukaryota, Metazoa, Chordata, Lepidosauria, Squamata, Colubridae.
CCAUCUCCAGCCGACGCGCAGCCUCUCCGGCGAUGCCUUUGAUUGAACUUUUAUUCACGCAUCCAUCUUGUUUCCUCGCCGCAGGAGAUUGGACCGGAAAGACACGUAGCCCCAGCGUGGUUGGGGAUGGUAAAGGUAAAAGUUCCCCUUGCACAUAAGUGCUAGUUGUUCCCGAAUCUAGGGGGCGGUGUUCACUCCGUUUCAAAGCCGAAGAGCCAGCGCUGUCUGAAGACUUCUCCGUGGUCAUGUGGUCGGCAUAACUAAACGCCAAAGGCACGGAACACUGUUCCCUUCCCACCAAAGGUGGUCCCUAUUUUUCUACUUACAUUUUUUACGUGCUUUCAAACUGCUAGGUUGGCAGAAACUGGGACAAGUAACGGGAGUUAUGCAGUACUAGGGAUUCAAACCACUGAAUAGUCUGCAUUACUAUUAAUCUUCUUAUCGUUCCUAUCACCCAUCUCCCACUUACGACUGUAUGACUGUAACCUUCUUGCUGGCAUCCUUACAAUUUAUAUUGACUGUUUCCUAAUAUGAUUUGAUUGCUUAUUUGUUCCCUAUGACUAUCAUUAAGUGUUGUACCUUAUGAUUCUUGAUGAAUGUAUCUUUUCUUUUAUGUACACCGAGAGCAUAUGCACUAAGAGAAAUUCCUUGUGUGUCCAAUAAAGAAUUCUAUUCUAUUCUA